ACGAUGAACGGCCACAACGUCUAUACGUCGA
This 31-nucleotide small RNA is filed under the name Bombyx mori (domestic silkworm). RNAcentral's name for it is "ovarian small RNA-4428". Lineage: Eukaryota; Metazoa; Arthropoda; Insecta; Lepidoptera; Bombycidae. The record is from RNAcentral.